This 253-nucleotide ribosomal RNA is filed under the name uncultured bacterium. RNAcentral describes it as "partial 16S ribosomal RNA". It matches the Rfam family "Bacterial small subunit ribosomal RNA", at positions 524 to 776 of the family's 1533-position model. The record is from RNAcentral.
UACAUGGGGUGCAAACGUUGCUCGGAAUCAUUGGGCGUAAAGCGCGCGUAGGCGGUUACUUAAGUCGAAUGUGAAAGCCCUCGGCUUAACCGAGGAAGUGCAUCCGAAACUGAGUAGCUAGAGUACGAAAGAGGGUCGCGGAAUUCCUAGUGUAGAGGUGAAAUUCGUAGAUAUUAGGAAGAACACCAGUGGCGAAGGCGGCUCACUGGCCCGGUACUGACGCUGAGGCGCGAAAGCGUGGGGAGCAAACAGG